GGUUAAGCGACUAAGCGUACACGGUGGAUGCCCCGGCAGUCAGAGGCGAUGAAGGACGUGCUAAUCUGCGAAAAGCGUCGGUAAGGUGAUAUGAACCGUUAUAACCGGCGAUGUCCGAAUGGGGAAACCCAGUGCAAUUCGUUGCACUAUCGUUAACUGAAUACAUAGGUUAACGAGGCGAACCGGGGGAACUGAAACAUCUAAGUACCCCGAGGAAAAGAAAUCAACCGAGAUUCCCCCAGUAGCGGCGAGCGAACGGGGAGCAGCCCAGAGUCUGAAUCAGCUUGUGUGUUAGUGGAACGGUCUGGAAAGUCCGACGGUACAGGGUGAUAGUCCCGUACACCAAAAUGCACAGGCUGUGAACUCGAAGAGUAGGGCGGGACACGUGGUAUCCUGUCUGAAUAUGGGGGACCAUCCUCCAAGGCUAAAUACUCCUGACUGACCGAUAGUGAACCAGUACCGUGAGGGAAAGGCGAAAAGAACCCCGGCGAGGGGAGUGAAAAAGAACCUGAAACCGUGUACGUACAAGCAGUGGGAGCACCUUCGGGUGUGACUGCGUACCUUUGUAUAAUGGGUCAGCGACUUAUAUUCUGUAGCAAGGUUAACCGUAUAGGGGAGCCGCAGGGAAACCGAGUCUUAACUGGGCGUUAAGUUGCAGGGUAUAGACCCGAAACCCGGUGAUCUAGCCAUGGGCAGGUUGAAGGUUGGGUAACACUAACUGGAGGACCGAACCGACUAAUGUUGAAAAAUUAGCGGAUGACUUGUGGCUGGGGGUGAAAGGCCAAUCAAACCGGGAGAUAGCUGGUUCUCCCCGAAAGCUAUUUAGGUAGCGCCUCGUGAAUUCAUCUUCGGGGGUAGAGCACUGUUUCGGCUAGGGGGUCAUCCCGACUUACCAACCCGAUGCAAACUACGAAUACCGAAGAAUGUUAUCACGGGAGACACACGGCGGGUGCUAACGUCCGUCGUGAAGAGGGAAACAACCCAGACCGCCAGCUAAGGUCCCAAAGUCAUGGUUAAGUGGGAAACGAUGUGGGAAGGCACAGACAGCCAGGAUGUUGGCUUAGAAGCAGCCAUCAUUUAAAGAAAGCGUAAUAGCUCACUGGUCGAGUCGGCCUGCGCGGAAGAUGUAACGGGGCUAAACCAUGCACCGAAGCUGCGGCAGCGACACUAUGUGUUGUUGGGUAGGGGAGCGUUCUGUAAGCCUGCGAAGGUGUGCUGUGAGGCAUGCUGGAGGUAUCAGAAGUGCGAAUGCUGACAUAAGUAACGAUAAAGCGGGUGAAAAGCCCGCUCGCCGGAAGACCAAGGGUUCCUGUCCAACGUUAAUCGGGGCAGGGUGAGUCGACCCCUAAGGCGAGGCCGAAAGGCGUAGUCGAUGGGAAACAGGUUAAUAUUCCUGUACUUGGUGUUACUGCGAAGGGGGGACGGAGAAGGCUAUGUUAGCCGGGCGACGGUUGUCCCGGUUUAAGCAUGUAGGCUGGUUGUCCAGGCAAAUCCGGAUAAUCAAGGCUGAGGUGUGAUGACGAGGCACUACGGUGCUGAAGUAACAAAUGCCCUGCUUCCGGGAAAGCCUCUAAGCAUCAGGUAACAUCAAAUCGUACCCCAAACCGACACAGGUGGUCAGGUAGAGAAUACCAAGGCGCUUGAGAGAACUCGGGUGAAGGAACUAGGCAAAAUGGUGCCGUAACUUCGGGAGAAGGCACGCUGGUGUGUAGGUGAAGUCCCUGCGGAUGGAGCUGAGACCAGUCGAAGAUACCAGCUGGCUGCAACUGUUUAUUAAAAACACAGCACUGUGCAAACACGAAAGUGGACGUAUACGGUGUGACGCCUGCCCGGUGCCGGAAGGUUAAUUGAUGGGGUUAUCCGUAAGGAGAAGCUCUUGAUCGAAGCCCCGGUAAACGGCGGCCGUAACUAUAACGGUCCUAAGGUAGCGAAAUUCCUUGUCGGGUAAGUUCCGACCUGCACGAAUGGCGUAAUGAUGGCCGGGCUGUCUCCACCCGAGACUCAGUGAAAUUGAACUCGCUGUGAAGAUGCAGUGUACCCGCGGCAAGACGGAAAGACCCCGUGAACCUUUACUAUAGCUUGACACUGAACAUUGAGCCUUGAUGUGUAGGAUAGGUGGGAGGCUUUGAAGCGUGGACGCCAGUCUGCGUGGAGCCAACCUUGAAAUACCACCCUUUAAUGUUUGAUGUUCUAACGUUGGCCCCUUACCGGGGUUGCGGACAGUGUCUGGUGGGUAGUUUGACUGGGGCGGUCUCCUCCCAAAGCGUAACGGAGGAGCACGAAGGUUAGCUAAUCCUGGUCGGACAUCAGGAGGUUAGUGCAAUGGCAUAAGCUAGCUUGACUGCGAGCGUGACGGCGCGAGCAGGUGCGAAAGCAGGUCAUAGUGAUCCGGUGGUUCUGAAUGGAAGGGCCAUCGCUCAACGGAUAAAAGGUACUCCGGGGAUAACAGGCUGAUACCGCCCAAGAGUUCAUAUCGACGGCGGUGUUUGGCACCUCGAUGUCGGCUCAUCACAUCCUGGGGCUGAAGUAGGUCCCAAGGGUAUGGCUGUUCGCCAUUUAAAGUGGUACGCGAGCUGGGUUUAGAACGUCGUGAGACAGUUCGGUCCCUAUCUGCCGUGGGCGCUGGAGAAUUGAGGGGGGCUGCUCCUAGUACGAGAGGACCGGAGUGGACGCAUCACUGGUGUUCGGGUUGUCAUGCCAAUGGCACUGCCCGGUAGCUAAAUGCGGAAGAGAUAAGUGCUGAAAGCAUCUAAGCACGAAACUUGCCCCGAGAUGAGUUCUCCCUGAGACUUUAAGUCUCCUGAAGGAACGUUGAAGACGACGACGUUGAUAGGCCGGGUGUGUAAGCGCAGCGAUGCGUUGAGCUAACCGGUACUAAUGAACCGUGAGGCUUAACCUU
Molecule: ribosomal RNA, 2899 nt
Filed under: Klebsiella pneumoniae
Lineage: Bacteria; Pseudomonadati; Pseudomonadota; Gammaproteobacteria; Enterobacterales; Enterobacteriaceae
Description: 23S ribosomal RNA
Rfam family: Bacterial large subunit ribosomal RNA
Source: RNAcentral